RNAcentral lists this ribosomal RNA (433 nucleotides) under uncultured bacterium. RNAcentral's name for it is "partial 16S ribosomal RNA". It matches the Rfam family "Bacterial small subunit ribosomal RNA", at positions 29 to 507 of the family's 1533-position model. The record is from RNAcentral.
AACGAACGCUGGCGGCAGGCCUAACACAUGCAAGUCGAGCGGACCCUUCGGGGUUAGCGGCGGACGGGUGAGUAACGCGUGGGAACGUGCCCUUUGCUUCGGAAUAGCCCUGGGAAACUGGGAGUAAUACCGGAUACGCCCUUUUGGGGAAAGAUUUAUCGGCGAAGGAUCGGCCCGCGUUGGAUUAGGUAGUUGGUGGGGUAAUGGCCUACCAAGCCGACGAUCCAUAGCUGGUUUGAGAGGAUGAUCAGCCACACUGGGACUGAGACACGGCCCAGACUCCUACGGGAGGCAGCAGUGGGGAAUCUUAGACAAUGGGGGAAACCCUGAUCUAGCCAUGCCGCGUGAGCGAUGAAGGCCUUAGGGUUGUAAAGCUCUUUCACCGGGGAAGAUAAUGACGGUAGCCGGAGAAGAAGCCCCGGCUAACUCCGUG